RNAcentral lists this ribosomal RNA (388 nucleotides) under uncultured bacterium. RNAcentral's name for it is "bacterial SSU rRNA". It matches the Rfam family "Bacterial small subunit ribosomal RNA", at positions 29 to 409 of the family's 1533-position model. The record is from RNAcentral.
AAUGAACGCUGGCGGCGCGCCUAAUACAUGCAAGUCGAGCGAGAAGACGUAGCAAUACGUUUGUAAAGCGGCGAACGGGUGAGGAAUACAUGGGUAACCUACCCUCGAGUGGGGAAUAACUAGCCGAAAGGUUAGCUAAUACCGCGUACGCUUCUUGGACUUCGGUUCAGGGAGGAAAGCGAUGCCGAGGGUAUCGCGCUCUUGGAUGGGCUCAUGUCCUAUCAGCUUGUUGGGAGGUAACGGCUCACCAAGGCUUCGACGGGUAGCUGGUCUGAGAGGACGAUCAGCCACACUGGCACUGCGACACGGGCCAGACUCCUACGGGAGCAGCAGUAAGGAUAUUGCGCAAUGGGCGAAAGCCUGACGCAGCGACGCCGCGGUGGGGGAU